AACGCACAUUGCGCCCCUUUUGCAGAGGGGCAUGCCUGUCUGAGCGUCUUUAAAAUCAUAGACUCGAGUCUGUUUUGGGCCUCGCCGCCUGGCGUCGCCUGGAAGCCAUUGCUGUUGAGCGGACGAGAUCCAUUAGGACUGGCCGUUCCGGGCUUUUUCUUCGAGACAGACCUCAGAUCAGGUAGGAUUACCGCCUGAACUUAA
This 204-nucleotide unclassified non-coding RNA is filed under the name uncultured fungus. RNAcentral's name for it is "sequence contains ITS2". The record is from RNAcentral. Lineage: Eukaryota; Fungi.